RNAcentral lists this ribosomal RNA (550 nucleotides) under uncultured Thermoplasmatales archaeon. RNAcentral's name for it is "bacterial SSU rRNA". It matches the Rfam family "Archaeal small subunit ribosomal RNA", at positions 339 to 889 of the family's 1478-position model. Lineage: Archaea; Methanobacteriati; Thermoplasmatota; Thermoplasmata; Thermoplasmatales. The record is from RNAcentral.
GCGCGAAAACUUCGCAAUGCGCGAAAGCGCGACGAGGGAAUCCCAAGUGCUUGCUCGUUAGAGUAAGCUGUUUUUUAUGUCUAAAAACGCAUAGAGAGUAAGAGCUGGGUAAGACGGGUGCCAGCCGCCGCGGUAAUACCUGCAGCUCGAGUGGUGGUCGUUAUUAUUGGGCCUAAAACGUCCGUAGCCGGUUUAUUAAAUGCCUGGGUAAAUCGUGUAGCUUAACUAUACGAAUUCCGGGUAGACUGAUAAACUUGAGAUCGGGAGAAGUUAGAGGUACUCCUGGGGUAGAGGUGAAAUUCCGUAAUCCUAGGGGGACCACCAGUGGCGAAGGCGUCUGACUAGAACGAGUCUGACGGUGAGGGACGAAGCCCUGGGGCGCAAACGGGAUUAGAUACCCCGGUAGUCCAGGGUGUAAACGCUGCUUGCUUGAUGUUAGUCGGGCUCCGAGCCCGAUUAGUGUCGGAAAGAAGUUGUUAAGCAAGCUGCCUGGGAAGUACGAUCGCAAGACUGAAACUUAAAGGAAUUGGGCGGGGGAGCACGAGCGAAC